GAGUACGUGAAACCGCCCAGAGGUAAACGGGUGGAUCCGCACACUCGGCCCGCGGAAUUCAGCGCGGCGCGCGGCUCGGGGCAGUUGCGGCUCGGGAUCCCUGGGACCCGGCCGCGGCGCCGCGCCGGGCUCCGCCGCGUGCACUUUCCGCGGGCAGAGCGCCACAACCGGUUCUCGGGGCGGCUAGAAGCCGGGGGGGAAGGUAGGUGGAGGCCGGCAACGGCCUUUACUGUUAUAGUCCUCUCUGGCGAGCUGCUCGGGGACCGAGGAACGACCGCGCGCUUCGAGGCUACCCGGCUUUCCGGGGGAGUUCGACUGGGAGAGACUGGGCAACCGUGUCUUCCGACCGCUCCUUCGUGACUGGAUCGGGCUAGCCGGGCGCGCUUUUGGGUUGGUGGCGAGUCAGUCGGCAUUCCACCCGACCCGUCUUGAAACACGGACCAAGGAGUCUAACAUGCGCGCGAGUCAUUGGGCUGUACGAAACCCAAAGGCGCAGUGAAAGCGAGGGUCGUCUCGGGCUGACCCAGGUGGGAUCCCUCUGGCAACGGGGGGCGCACCACCGGCCCGUCCCGUCUGCGUUGGCAGUGGGGCGGAGCAUGAGCGUGCACGCUGGGACCCGAAAGAUGGUGAACUAUGCCUGAGUAGAACGAAGCCAGAGGAAACUCUGGUGGAAGUUCGUAGCGAUUCUGACGUGCAAAUCGAUC
Molecule: ribosomal RNA, 704 nt
Filed under: Cassidula nucleus
Lineage: Eukaryota; Metazoa; Mollusca; Gastropoda; Ellobiida; Ellobiidae
Description: eukaryotic LSU rRNA
Rfam family: Eukaryotic large subunit ribosomal RNA
Source: RNAcentral